Molecule: ribosomal RNA, 253 nt
Filed under: uncultured bacterium
Lineage: Bacteria
Description: partial 16S ribosomal RNA
Rfam family: Bacterial small subunit ribosomal RNA
Source: RNAcentral
UACGUAGGGUGCAAGCGUUAAUCGGAAUUACUGGGCGUAAAGCGUGCGCAGGCGGUUUUGUAAGUCAGAUGUGAAAUCCCCGGGCUUAACCUGGGAACUGCGUUUGAAACUACAAGGCUAGAGUGUGGCAGAGGGGGGUGGAAUUCCACGUGUAGCAGUGAAAUGCGUAGAGAUGUGGAGGAACACCGAUGGCGAAGGCAGCCCCCUGGGUUAACACUGACGCUCAGGCACGAAAGCGUGGUGAGCAAACAGG